AUGCCCUGGAAGUCCAAGGUGGGCAAGCAGAGCUUCACAGCCUCUACCACAGCCCCAAAGGUCUUCCCUCUGGCUCCCUGCUGUGGGAAGACAUCUGAAUCCACGGUGGCCCUGGGCUGCCUGGUCUCCAGCUACUUCCCAGAGCCGGUGACCGUGUCCUGGAACUCGGGCGCCCUGACCAGCGGCGUGCACACCUUCCCGUCCAUCCUGCAGUCUUCGGGGCUCUACUCCCUCAGCAGCAUGGUGACCGUGCCUGCCAGCAGCUUGGAGAGCCAGACCUACACCUGCAACGUAGCCCACCCGGCCAGCAGCACCAAGGUGGACAAGAGAGUCGUCGUAAGAGACCCGAAGUCCUGCAGCAAGUCUCCCGAAUGCCCAGUUCCAGGAGGGCCUAGGGUCUUCAUCUUCCCUCCAAAACCCAAGGACACCCUCAUGAUCUCCCGAACUCCCGAGGUCACCUGCGUGGUGGUGGAUGUGAGCCCGGAAAACCCUGAUGUCCAGUUCAACUGGUACGUGGAUGGCAAAGAGGUGCACACGGCCAGGACGAAGCCAAAGGAGGAUCAGUUCAAUGGCACCCAGCGGGUGGUCAGCGUCCUCCCCAUACAGCACCAGGACUGGCUUAGUGGGAAGGAGUUCAAGUGUAAGGUCAACAACGAAGCCCUCCCGGCCCCCAUUGAGAGGAUCAUCAUGAAGGACAAAGGGCCGGCCCGGGAGCCGCAGGUGUACGUCCUGCCCCCACACCAGGAUGAGCUGGCCAAGGGCACAGUCAGCGUGACCUGCCUGGUCAAAGACUUCUACCCACCUGACAUCGAUGUCGAGUGGCAGGGCAACAGGCAGACGGAGCCGGAGGACAAGUACAGCACCACCCCGCCACAGCUGGAUGGCGACAGGUCCUACUUCCUGUACAGCAAGCUCUCAGUGGAGACAAACAGGUGGAAGCAGGGAGUCAAGUUCACGUGUGGGGUGAUGCACGAGGCUCUCCACAAUCACUACACGGAGAAAAUCAUCUCCCAGUCUCCGGAGGUGGUCCUGGAUGAGAGUUGCGCCGAGACCCAGGUCGGGGAGCUGGACGGGCUGUGGACCACCAUCUCCAUCUUCAUCACGCUCUUCCUGCUCAGCGUGUGCUACAGUGCCACCAUCACCCUCUUCAAGGUGAAGUGGAUCUUCUCCUCGGUGGUGGAGCUGAAGCCGACCAUCGUCCCUGACUACAGGAACAUGAUCGGGCAGGGGGCCUAG
This is a non-coding RNA of Diceros bicornis minor, 1236 nucleotides long. The record is from the annotation of a RefSeq genome assembly. NCBI's taxonomy places the organism in Eukaryota, Metazoa, Chordata, Mammalia, Perissodactyla, Rhinocerotidae.